GAUGAACGCUGGCGGCGUGCCUAAGACAUGCAAGUCGAGUGGGUUUAGACCCACGGCGAACGGGUGAGUAAUACCUAGGAACUUUUUUUAAGUGGAGCAUAACCAGUCGAAAGAUUGGAUAAUACUCCAUAUUAUCGUAAGAUGAAAGCAGCAAUGCGCUUAAAAUGAGGCCUGGGCACCAUCAGCUAGUUGGUAAGGUAAUGGCUUACCAAGGCUAUGACGGUUAGGGGUCCCGAGAGGGAUAACCCCCACACUGGAACUGCGACACGGUCCAG
RNAcentral lists this ribosomal RNA (275 nucleotides) under uncultured bacterium. RNAcentral's name for it is "partial 16S ribosomal RNA". It matches the Rfam family "Bacterial small subunit ribosomal RNA", at positions 28 to 334 of the family's 1533-position model. The record is from RNAcentral.